RNAcentral lists this unclassified non-coding RNA (192 nucleotides) under plant metagenome. RNAcentral's name for it is "partial contains small subunit ribosomal RNA and internal transcribed spacer 1". The stretch from base 1 to 46 matches the Rfam family "Eukaryotic small subunit ribosomal RNA", at positions 1786 to 1831 of the family's 1831-position model. The record is from RNAcentral.
AAGUCGUAACAAGGUCUCCGUAGGUGAACCUGCGGAGGGAUCAUUACCGAGUGAGGGUCUCUGACCCAACCUCCAACCCUUUGUCGAUGAAUAUCAGUUGCCUUGGGGGGCGACCCGGCUCGCGCCGGCCAGUCCCCAAUGGUCUCACAACACUGCAUCUUUGCGUCGAAGUAUUGAAUGAAUCAAUCAAAA